GCGCCCAUAACUCAGUUGGUAGAGUAACCGCCUCUUAAGCGGGAUGUCGCAGGUUCGAUCCCUGCUGGGCGCACCA
RNAcentral lists this transfer RNA (76 nucleotides) under Candidatus Portnoybacteria bacterium RIFCSPLOWO2_02_FULL_39_11. RNAcentral describes it as "tRNA-Lys". It matches the Rfam family "tRNA". Rfam says of the family: Transfer RNA (tRNA) molecules are approximately 80 nucleotides in length. Their secondary structure includes four short double-helical elements and three loops (D, anti-codon, and T loops). The record is from RNAcentral. Lineage: Bacteria; Candidatus Portnoyibacteriota.